Long non-coding RNA from Bactrocera dorsalis (oriental fruit fly), 351 nucleotides. RefSeq lists it as uncharacterized. The transcript has 2 exons. Lineage: Eukaryota; Metazoa; Arthropoda; Insecta; Diptera; Tephritidae. The record is from RefSeq and is a predicted model, not a curated record.
AAAACAUUGAAUAAUUGUUCCAUAUAUCAUUAUCGAUUCAUAGUUGUUUUACAUCGAAACAAAAUUAUCUAAAACGAAGUAGUGAAUAAUUAUGCAGAAACGGAUAUUAUCCUUGCUUGUAGCCAUUGUGGUUAUUCAGUUGGUAGCUGCACAGUUUUACAACUAUGGAUACCGAAAUGAGCCACCGCCUCCUUUACCAAUGACAGAAAGACCAACAACCUACUCACAGGAAGGACUACCACCACCAAGAAAACCAUAUCCCUACUAUAAUGAUGAACUAGCGGCUGCAGAAGUAUUUGAUUGAGCACAAGAAAUGUCGUUACCAGAACUUUCUGGACUAUUGUUCUCAGA